CAUGCAGCGGUGGGGUCCCUCAGCCUGGCCUGCACCCUAUUACAGUCCGGGACCCUUUGGGGGAUUAUAUUGGAUCCCUUUCAACCCGAUCCCCGCAGGCCAGGCUGAGGGACCCCACCAGUGCACA
Molecule: microRNA precursor, 127 nt
Filed under: Myotis davidii
Lineage: Eukaryota; Metazoa; Chordata; Mammalia; Chiroptera; Vespertilionidae
Description: mir-9193 microRNA precursor family
Rfam family: mir-9193 microRNA precursor family
Source: Rfam by way of RNAcentral